AGGCAUUUUCUCGAAUUCGAACAUCGGAUAUUUCGGAUUACUUUGCCACUUUCCACCCUUACCUACUCUCAUCGGCAGGAUCUGUCGCCUAAGGGCUCCAUUCUCUUGAAUUCAAAAUACACCUGUGUCAACUAGGUUGGCAGCCAAGGAAGUCAAGGCAUGCGCACAUGACAGUGAGCCUGGGUUCUCAGUCACUGGAACCUUCGUUGCUGCCACGUUUCGCGCGAGCAGGGCAUCUGUGUGCAUUUUUCAGAACUUGUCAUCAGAAUCAACCAUUUUCUGAGUGAAUUCAUUUACAAAAGGGCAAGAAAAAUGAAGAUGAACCGCCAACCCUGGCAUGUGGCAUCAAGGAACCUUUGUUGCAAUGCAUGUCCAUGGAGGCAGGUAAGAUGCGUCGACGUGCAGCCCAUCAGCUGUGCAUGCAUGAGUUCAGGACCAUCUUCAGAAUUAUUAAUCCAUCAGCUGGUGUUCAUUGCAUCCUCGAUGACCAUUUCUUUCUGCCACACAGUCCACUCAAUUGUCGCUCUGCUAAGGAGAAAUAGUCGCUCUAAUCUUGGGCCCGUUUUUUUUACNCUUACAUACAAACAAGUGAGUUAGCU
Molecule: long non-coding RNA, 599 nt
Filed under: Hordeum vulgare
Lineage: Eukaryota; Viridiplantae; Streptophyta; Magnoliopsida; Poales; Poaceae
Description: long non-coding RNA (HVUL_LNC008318)
Source: RNAcentral